Tulasnella sp. 403 is the source of this 79-nucleotide non-coding RNA. The record is from the annotation of a GenBank genome assembly. NCBI's taxonomy places the organism in Eukaryota, Fungi, Basidiomycota, Agaricomycetes, Cantharellales, Tulasnellaceae.
GCACCGGGGGCUCGGUGGUUGAGCAGGGGAUUGCAGUAUGACUAUCCCAAGGCCAUGGGUUCAAAUCCCAUUCGGUGCU